UGUUGAGUACGAUAAAAGAAUCU
RNAcentral lists this small nuclear RNA (23 nucleotides) under Arabidopsis thaliana (thale cress). RNAcentral's name for it is "snRNA_07641". Lineage: Eukaryota; Viridiplantae; Streptophyta; Magnoliopsida; Brassicales; Brassicaceae. The record is from RNAcentral.